This 350-nucleotide ribosomal RNA is filed under the name uncultured bacterium. RNAcentral describes it as "bacterial SSU rRNA". It matches the Rfam family "Bacterial small subunit ribosomal RNA", at positions 29 to 410 of the family's 1533-position model. The record is from RNAcentral.
AACGAACGCUGGCGGCAUGCCUAACACAUGCAAGUCGAACGAGACCUUCGGGUCUAGUGGCGCACGGGUGCGUAACGCGUGGGAAUCUGCCCUUGGGUACGGAAUAACAGUUAGAAAUGACUGCUAAUACCGUAUAAUGACUUCGGUCCAAAGAUUUAUCGCCCAAGGAUGAGCCCGCGUAGGAUUAGCUUGUUGGUGAGGUAAAAGCUCACCAAGGCGACGAUCCAGCUGGUCUGAGAGGAUGAUCAGCCACGCUGGGACUGAGACACGGCCCAGACUCUACGGGAGGCAGCAGUGGGAAUAUUGGACAAUGGGCGAAAGCCUGAUCCAGCAAUGCCGCGUGAGUGAUG